GUGGGGAAUUUUGGACAAUGGGCGCAAGCCUGAUCCAGCAAUGCCGCGUGCAGGAAGAAGGCCUUCGGGUUGUAAACUGCUUUUGUACGGAACGAAACGGUCCGGGUUAAUACCCUGGGCUAAUGACGGUACCGUAAGAAUAAGCACCGGCUAACUACGUGCCAGCAGCCGCGGUAAUACGUAGGGUGCAAGCGUUAAUCGGAAUUACUGGGCGUAAAGCGUGUGCCGGCGGUUUUGUAAGACAGGCGUGAACUCCCCGGGCGCAACCUGGGAAUUGCGCUUGUGACUGCAAGGCUGGAGUGCGGCAGAGGGGGAUGGAAUUCCGCGUGUAGCAGUGAAAUGCGUAGAUAUGCGGAGGAACACCGAUGGCGAAGGCAAUCCCCUGGGCCUGCACUGACGCUCAUGCACGAAAGCGUGGGGAGCAAACAGGAUUAGAUACCCCUGUAGUCC
This 450-nucleotide ribosomal RNA is filed under the name uncultured bacterium. RNAcentral's name for it is "bacterial SSU rRNA". It matches the Rfam family "Bacterial small subunit ribosomal RNA", at positions 354 to 796 of the family's 1533-position model. The record is from RNAcentral.